RNAcentral lists this ribosomal RNA (492 nucleotides) under uncultured bacterium. RNAcentral describes it as "partial 16S ribosomal RNA". It matches the Rfam family "Bacterial small subunit ribosomal RNA", at positions 29 to 507 of the family's 1533-position model. The record is from RNAcentral.
AGUGAACGCUGGCGGUAGGCCUAACACAUGCAAGUCGAACGGCAGCACAGUAAGAGCUUGCUCUUACGGGUGGCGAGUGGCGGACGGGUGAGGAAUACAUCGGAAUCUACUUUUUCGUGGGGGAUAACGUAGGGAAACUUACGCUAAUACCGCAUACGACCUACGGGUGAAAGCAGGGGAUCGUCGGACCUUGCGCGAUUGAACUAGCCGAUGUCGGAUUAGCUAGUUGGGGGGGUAAAGGCCCACCAAGGCGACGAUCCGUAGCUGGUCUGAGAGGAUGAUCAGCCACACUGGAACUUAGACACGGUCCAGACUCCUACGGGAGGCAGCAGUGGGGAAUAUUGGACAAUGGGCGCAAGCCUGAUCCAGCCAUACCGCGUGGGUGAAGAAGGCCUUCGGGUUGUAAAGCCCUUUUGUUGGGAAAGAAAAGCAGCAGGUUAAUACCCCGCUGUUCUGACGGUACCCAAAGAAUAAGCACCGGCUAACUUCGUG